GAUGAAAAACGUAGCGAAAUGCGAUAAGUAAUGUGAAUUGCAGAAUUCAGUGAAUCAUCGAAUCUUUGAACGCACCUUGCACUCCUUGGUAUUCCGAGGAGUACGCCUGUUCGAGUGUUAUGAAGCUCUCAAAACGCAAUUGGCUUAAAACCUGAUUGUUGUUUUGGAUUUGAACUUUGCCGUGUUAUAACGGCUGGUUUUAAAAGUAUUAGCUGGUACUAGAACGAAUUGGUUCUACUCAACGUGAUAAUUAUCUGAUCGUUGAGGACAUUCCUUUCACGAGGAAUGGCCAUAGUAAAUUCAAUGGACUGCUUCUAAUCUGGCUUUAAUUCUUUAUUGGAUUAACCACUUUUCAAAUCUGACCUCGAAUCAGGUGGGACUACCCGCUGAACUUAAGCAUAUCAAUAAGCGGAGGA
Molecule: unclassified non-coding RNA, 416 nt
Filed under: soil metagenome
Description: partial contains 5.8S ribosomal RNA, internal transcribed spacer 2, and large subunit ribosomal RNA
Rfam family: 5.8S ribosomal RNA (bases 1-120)
Source: RNAcentral